GAUGAAGAACGCAGCGAAAUGCGAUAAGUAGUGUGAGUUGCAGAAUUCCGUGAAUCAUCGAAUCUUUGAACGCACAUUGCGCCUUCUGGUAUUCCGGAAGGCAUGCCUGUUCGAGAGUCAUUAACAACCGUUUCGAUCCCUUUCUUUCAGAAAUUACAAAGAGGAAAAGGGUUUGGUUAUGGUGGAGGAGGGAAAGGGAGCGUUUAGCCUGUAAAAAAAGAGGCUGUGUUCCGCCUCCCCCCCAAAAUUGUACAGGCGGUCGUGUGCGCCCACGCAUCGAGGUGUUGUAAAAGCUGCCACGGCACUUUUCACCUGUGCAGUGCGAGAUUGGCCAGCCGGUUUAAAAACCCCUCCAAACAAUCAAAGGUUGACCUCGGAUCAGGUAGGGAUACCCGCUGAACUUAAGCAUAUCAAUAAGCGGAGGA
RNAcentral lists this unclassified non-coding RNA (425 nucleotides) under soil metagenome. RNAcentral describes it as "partial contains 5.8S ribosomal RNA, internal transcribed spacer 2, and large subunit ribosomal RNA". The stretch from base 1 to 120 matches the Rfam family "5.8S ribosomal RNA", at positions 35 to 154 of the family's 154-position model. The record is from RNAcentral.